RNAcentral lists this unclassified non-coding RNA (333 nucleotides) under soil metagenome. Its description in RNAcentral is "partial contains 5.8S ribosomal RNA, internal transcribed spacer 2, and large subunit ribosomal RNA". The stretch from base 1 to 120 matches the Rfam family "5.8S ribosomal RNA", at positions 35 to 154 of the family's 154-position model. The record is from RNAcentral.
GAUGAAGAACGCAGCGAAAUGCGAUAAGUAAUGUGAAUUGCAGAAUUCAGUGAAUCAUCGAAUCUUUGAACGCACAUUGCGCCCGCCAGUAUUCUGGCGGGCAUGCCUGUUCGAGCGUCAUUUCAACCAUCAAGCCCCCGGCUUGUGUUGGGGACCUGCGGCUGCCGCAGGCCCUGAAAACCAGUGGCGGGCUCGCUAGUCACUCCGAGCGUAGUAAUACAUCUCGCUCAGGGCGUGCUGCGGGUUCCGGCCGUUAAAAGCCUUAUUUACCCAAGGUUGACCUCGGAUCAGGUAGGAAGACCCGCUGAACUUAAGCAUAUCAAUAAGCGAGGA